Molecule: non-coding RNA, 925 nt
Organism: Sus scrofa (pig)
Lineage: Eukaryota; Metazoa; Chordata; Mammalia; Artiodactyla; Suidae
Source: RefSeq, a predicted model, not a curated record
AGAGGAAGCUGAGAGAGAAGGAGGUGGGUCGGGGGAAGGCAGGUGGAGUUGGAGGCUCUGAGCCUGCCCCCCUCCCCCGCCCUUUCCUAGAGUUUCUGUUCUGGGUCCUGGGAGUCUAAAAGCCCCAGGGCAUCAGUCUUGCCAGGGUGCUCUCAUUUGCCCUCAGAGGAGGGAGCGGAGGCAGACUUGCACAGCUGAGCAGCCUCCCUGAAGAGGGAGGCAUGUUUCUCUGAGGCCUUGUGGGCAAAGGAUGGAGGAGAGAAAGCUGAGCUCAAUUAGGAAGGAUGCUAUUCAAAGACGCUCCCCACCUCUGCAUGGAUGGAUGGGAUGGGUGUGUACAUGCGGUGAGUGGAGCUGUGGGCCCAGCAAGCCUCUGCCCGGAGGGGCUGGCUCUCCGGUGAGCACCGAAGGCAGUGAUUCAUCCAGGGAUCAUCAGAGAGAGCCUGCUGGCGAAGGUGGCAUUGUUCUUCCCAAGCUUUGAUGGGGUUACACAAGCUCGUGCCGAUUUGUGGGUAGAAGCCUUCUCACUUUUCCCUUGCCACUUGUCGCCAAAAGGUGCUUGGAUGUGACUCUGGGAACUGCUACCGUCAUCAUACUGCAAGUCUCAAGGGCAAAGCCCUUCCUGAGGAGGGCAGAGCGUAGACAGUAGGGAUCCAGGACCGCUGCCCUUGUGGAGUCUCUCCUUCAGCCAAGCUGGAGCGAGCCCAGCCUCUGCAGUUAUGUUGUGUGAUCUCAUACAUUUCCCUGUGGUUGAAGACAGAAGGUGAGGUAAAGUCUCCUCACUGACACCAGGGUCUUCCACAUGCAGCACAUGUGAAUCGGCUGUCCUGUGUGUUCAGCACGUCUCCCUGUCACCUCCCUCAUGCAACCAACCCGACUCCUGCCCCUUCCCAACUGACUAUGCUGGAUCAUUUGCAAAGGUGAC